CGCGCCCUACGGGACGCAGCAGUAGGGAAUUUUCGUCAAUGGGCGCAAGCCUGAACGAGCAAUGCCGCGUGAACGAGGAGGGUCUUCGGAUCGUAAAGUUCUGUUGAAGGGGAAAAAGAGCGGAGAGAGGAAAUGAACUCCGAUUGAUAUUACCCUUCGAGGAAGUCACGGCUAACUACGUGCCAGCAGCCGCGGUAAUACGUAGGUGGCGAGCGUUAUCCGGAAUGAUUGGGCGUAAAGGGUGCGUAGGCGGCCUGCUAAGUCUGGAGUGAAAGGUACCGGCUCAACCGGUACAGGCUCUGGAA
RNAcentral lists this ribosomal RNA (305 nucleotides) under uncultured bacterium. RNAcentral's name for it is "bacterial SSU rRNA". It matches the Rfam family "Bacterial small subunit ribosomal RNA", at positions 333 to 631 of the family's 1533-position model. The record is from RNAcentral.